UUAAGUUAUUAAGGGCGCACGGUGGAUGCCUUGGCACUAGAAGCCGAUGAAGGACGUUACUAACGACGAUAUGCUUUGGGGAGCUGUAAGUAAGCUUUGAUCCAGAGAUUUCCGAAUGGGGAAACCCAGCAUGAGUUAUGUCAUGUUAUCGAUAUGUGAAUACAUAGCAUAUCAGAAGGCACACCCGGAGAACUGAAACAUCUUAGUACCCGGAGGAAGAGAAAGAAAAUUCGAUUCCCUUAGUAGCGGCGAGCGAAACGGGAAGAGCCCAAACCAACAAGCUUGCUUGUUGGGGUUGUAGGACACUCUAUACGGAGUUACAAAGGACGACAUUAGACGAAUCAUCUGGAAAGAUGAAUCAAAGAAGGUAAUAAUCCUGUAGUCGAAAAUGUUGUCUCUCUUGAGUGGAUCCUGAGUACGACGGAGCACGUGAAAUUCCGUCGGAAUCUGGGAGGACCAUCUCCUAAGGCUAAAUACUCUCUAGUGACCGAUAGUGAACCAGUACCGUGAGGGAAAGGUGAAAAGCACCCCGGAAGGGGAGUGAAAUAGAACCUGAAACCGUGUGCUUACAAGUAGUCAGAGCCCGUUAAUGGGUGAUGGCGUGCCUUUUGUAGAAUGAACCGGCGAGUUACGAUUUGAUGCAAGGUUAAGCAGUAAAUGUGGAGCCGUAGCGAAAGCGAGUCUGAAUAGGGCGUUUAGUAUUUGGUCGUAGACCCGAAACCAGGUGAUCUACCCUUGGUCAGGUUGAAGUUCAGGUAACACUGAAUGGAGGACCGAACCGACUUACGUUGAAAAGUGAGCGGAUGAACUGAGGGUAGCGGAGAAAUUUCAAUCGAACCUGGAGAUAGCUGGUUCUCUCCGAAAUAGCUUUAGGGCUAGCCUCAAGUGAUGAUUAUUGGAGGUAGAGCACUGUUUGGACGAGGGGCCCCUCUCGGGUUACCGAAUUCAGACAAACUCCGAAUGCCAAUUAAUUUAACUUGGGAGUCAGAACAUGGGUGAUAAGGUCCGUGUUCGAAAGGGAAACAGCCCAGACCACCAGCUAAGGUCCCAAAAUAUAUGUUAAGUGGAAAAGGAUGUGGCGUUGCCCAGACAACUAGGAUGUUGGCUUAGAAGCAGCCAUCAUUUAAAGAGUGCGUAAUAGCUCACUAGUCGAGUGACACUGCGCCGAAAAUGUACCGGGGCUAAACAUAUUACCGAAGCUGUGGAUUGUCCUUUGGACAAUGGUAGGAGAGCGUUCUAAGGGCGUUGAAGCAUGAUCGUAAGGACAUGUGGAGCGCUUAGAAGUGAGAAUGCCGGUGUGAGUAGCGAAAGACGGGUGAGAAUCCCGUCCACCGAUUGACUAAGGUUUCCAGAGGAAGGCUCGUCCGCUCUGGGUUAGUCGGGUCCUAAGCUGAGGCCGACAGGCGUAGGCGAUGGAUAACAGGUUGAUAUUCCUGUACCACCUAUAAUCGUUUUAAUCGAUGGGGGGACGCAGUAGGAUAGGCGAAGCGUGCGAUUGGAUUGCACGUCUAAGCAGUAAGGCUGAGUAUUAGGCAAAUCCGGUACUCGUUAAGGCUGAGCUGUGAUGGGGAGAAGACAUUGUGUCUUCGAGUCGUUGAUUUCACACUGCCGAGAAAAGCCUCUAGAUAGAAAAUAGGUGCCCGUACCGCAAACCGACACAGGUAGUCAAGAUGAGAAUUCUAAGGUGAGCGAGCGAACUCUCGUUAAGGAACUCGGCAAAAUGACCCCGUAACUUCGGGAGAAGGGGUGCUCUUUAGGGUUAACGCCCAGAAGAGCCGCAGUGAAUAGGCCCAAGCGACUGUUUAUCAAAAACACAGGUCUCUGCUAAACCGUAAGGUGAUGUAUAGGGGCUGACGCCUGCCCGGUGCUGGAAGGUUAAGAGGAGUGGUUAGCUUCUGCGAAGCUACGAAUCGAAGCCCCAGUAAACGGCGGCCGUAACUAUAACGGUCCUAAGGUAGCGAAAUUCCUUGUCGGGGAAGUUCCGACCCGCACGAAAGGCGUAACGAUUUGGGCACUGUCUCAACGAGAGACUCGGUGAAAUCAUAGUACCUGUGAAGAUGCAGGUUACCCGCGACAGGACGGAAAGACCCCGUGGAGCUUUACUGUAGCCUGAUAUUGAAAUUCGGCACAGCUUGUACAGGAUAGGUAGGAGCCUUUGAAACGUGAGCGCUAGCUUACGUGGAGGCGCUGGUGGGAUACUACCCUAGCUGUGUUGGCUUUCUAACCCGCACCACUUAUCGUGGUGGGAGACAGUGUCAGGCGGGCAGUUUGACUGGGGCGGUCGCCUCCUAAAAGGUAACGGAGGCGCUCAAAGGUUCCCUCAGAAUGGUUGGAAAUCAUUCAUAGAGUGUAAAGGCAUAAGGGAGCUUGACUGCGAGACCUACAAGUCGAGCAGGGUCGAAAGACGGACUUAGUGAUCCGGUGGUUCCGCAUGGAAGGGCCAUCGCUCAACGGAUAAAAGCUACCCCGGGGAUAACAGGCUUAUCUCCCCCAAGAGUUCACAUCGACGGGGAGGUUUGGCACCUCGAUGUCGGCUCAUCGCAUCCUGGGGCUGUAGUCGGUCCCAAGGGUUGGGCUGUUCGCCCAUUAAAGCGGUACGCGAGCUGGGUUCAGAACGUCGUGAGACAGUUCGGUCCCUAUCCGUCGUGGGCGUAGGAAAUUUGAGAGGAGCUGUCCUUAGUACGAGAGGACCGGGAUGGACAUACCUCUGGUGUACCAGUUGUCGUGCCAACGGCAUAGCUGGGUAGCUAUGUGUGGACGGGAUAAGUGCUGAAAGCAUCUAAGCAUGAAGCCCCCCUCAAGAUGAGAUUUCCCAACUUCGGUUAUAAGAUCCCUCAAAGAUGAUGAGGUUAAUAGGUUCGAGGUGGAAGCAUGGUGACAUGUGGAGCUGACGAAUACUAAUCGAUCGAAGACUUAAUCAA
RNAcentral lists this ribosomal RNA (2921 nucleotides) under Staphylococcus aureus. Its description in RNAcentral is "23S ribosomal RNA". It matches the Rfam family "Bacterial large subunit ribosomal RNA". Lineage: Bacteria; Bacillati; Bacillota; Bacilli; Caryophanales; Staphylococcaceae. The record is from RNAcentral.